Molecule: transfer RNA, 92 nt
Filed under: Kwoniella heveanensis CBS 569
Lineage: Eukaryota; Fungi; Basidiomycota; Tremellomycetes; Tremellales; Cryptococcaceae
Also listed under: 1 other name
Description: tRNA-Ala
Rfam family: tRNA
About the family: Transfer RNA (tRNA) molecules are approximately 80 nucleotides in length. Their secondary structure includes four short double-helical elements and three loops (D, anti-codon, and T loops). Further hydrogen bonds mediate the characteristic L-shaped molecular structure. tRNAs have two regions of fundamental functional importance: the anti-codon, which is responsible for specific mRNA codon recognition, and the 3' end, to which the tRNAs corresponding amino acid is attached (by aminoacyl-tRNA synthetases). tRNAs cope with the degeneracy of the genetic code in two manners: having more than one tRNA (with a specific anti-codon) for a particular amino acid; and 'wobble' base-pairing, i.e. permitting non-standard base-pairing at the 3rd anti-codon position.
Source: RNAcentral
GGGGGUGUAGCUCAUUUGGCAGAGCGCGUCAUUAGCAAGUUCUUCUGAACAACGAAUUGACGAGGUACCGGGUUCAAUUCCCUGCUCCUCCA